CCCUCUAUCUAGCAGGUAGUUUGAGGGGACUAUGGGAAGGAGACAAAUAUCAUACAUUUGGAUUAUCAUCUUUAUUUGCUUCACUUGCCCUCUUUUUUGAGUAAAGGAGUUAAGGACAUGCUUCUAUACAAUGAAAAACAAACUAAAAUUAUUCAGAGAGUUAACCUAACUUUUUACCCUUCCCCAAUGAGACAUACAAAUGAGAGCUUGCAUUUCUUGGCCAGAUCCGUUGAAUUUAAAUUUUCCAUUAACAUAUAAUAGGUUUAGACUAUAAAUCCCUUUGAGCGUGGGAAUCAGUGAGGAAAAACGACACUCUGUAAGCUAUUGCUCAAAUAAGCUCAAACAUUUAUUUUAGAACAUACCGUGCCUGUAAAGAGAAAGAUAAUACAUUUUAUGUGUGUCAAUUUUUUAAAAAAAAAACAGCAAGAUUUUUUAAAAGCCAUUUUAUCUCUGAGAGAUUCAAUGACCAUAUUUGAUGACAAGCCAGAUGGCAGCAUUCUCUAGACCCGGUGCCAAGACGCAUGACAGGAGUCGCAAUUUACCUUCCGUGGUGAGGCUAGCUGCUGAAGCACACCACAGCUGCGGGCGAGCGGGCUGCUGCCGGUAGGUGCAAGCACAGUUGGUUCCCUCCCAACUUGGAUGCAGCAGGGCACGUUGCAGCCUCUUGUGCUGAGGACCACUGGAGAGCACUCAACACUACCAAUGCUCGGAAGCCAUUCUAAACAGCACAACACCAACAAAAAGUACAAAAAUGAAAAAACAACGUGGCAUUAAAUAGACUGCGAAAAGGACACAUGUCUACAGCAGAGAGCUGAAAGAAGGUGGAGUGCCACAUUGUUCCAUGCCAAUUGGAAUGAUGUGCAGAGGGAGAGGGGGGUGAACACGUUCAUAAAUCAUGGUGGAAGCACUGCAAGGGCGUUGGUCAUGGAGUUACAAAUAAAUAUUAGGGACUAGGUGAAUUUGAAAAUAUAGAAACCUUGAAUAACGAGGAUCAAUGGAAUUUGCAUUAUGCUGUGAGCUUAAUUCCACUGUCACCCACAUUAAUAAAUAAGCCAUGUUCUAUCUAGAACAGAGGCUUGAGUAGUCCCAAG
Long non-coding RNA from Chlorocebus sabaeus (green monkey), 1091 nucleotides. RefSeq lists it as uncharacterized. The record is from RefSeq and is a predicted model, not a curated record. NCBI's taxonomy places the organism in Eukaryota, Metazoa, Chordata, Mammalia, Primates, Cercopithecidae.